This 314-nucleotide ribosomal RNA is filed under the name uncultured Rhodospirillum sp. Its description in RNAcentral is "bacterial SSU rRNA". It matches the Rfam family "Bacterial small subunit ribosomal RNA", at positions 354 to 683 of the family's 1533-position model. Lineage: Bacteria; Pseudomonadati; Pseudomonadota; Alphaproteobacteria; Rhodospirillales; Rhodospirillaceae. The record is from RNAcentral.
UGAGGGAAUAUUUGGGGGCAAUGGAGGGAACUCUGACCCAGCCAUGCCGCGUGAGUGAGAAGGUUUUUCGAAUUGUAAAGCUCUUUCGGGUGUGAAGAUGAUGACGGUAGCACCAGAAGAAGCCCCGGCAAACUUCGUGCCAGCAGCCGCGGUAAUACGAAGGGGCGAGCGUUGUUCGGAAUUACUGGGCGUAAAGGGUGUGUAGGCGGUUAGGUAAGAUAGUGGUGAAAUGCCAGAGCUUAACUUUGGAAUUGCCAUUAUAACUAUUUGACUAGAAUGAUGUAGAGGAUAGCGGAAUACCCAGUGUAGAGGUG